UACGUAGGAGGCAAGCGUUGUCCGGAAUUACUGGGCGUAAAGCGCGUGUAGGUGGUGGGACAAGUCUGCUGUGAAAGCGCCUGGCUUAACCGGGCGAGGUCGGCGGAAACUGUCCGACUCGAGGACGGUAGAGGGGGGGUGGAAUUCCCGGUGUAGUGGUGAAAUGCGUAGAGAUCGGGAGGAACACCUGUGGCGAAGGCGGCCCCCCUGGGCCGGCCCUGACACUGAGACGCGAAGGCGUGGGGGAGCGAACGGG
RNAcentral lists this ribosomal RNA (256 nucleotides) under uncultured bacterium. RNAcentral describes it as "partial 16S ribosomal RNA". It matches the Rfam family "Bacterial small subunit ribosomal RNA", at positions 524 to 776 of the family's 1533-position model. The record is from RNAcentral.